UAUUACCUACGGGGGGCAGCAGUGGGGGAUAUUGCACAAUGGGGGGAACCCUGAUGCAGCGACGCCGCGUGGGUGAAGAAGCGCUCCGGCGCGUAAAGCCCUGUCAGCAGGGAAGAAGAAGGACGGUACCUGACCAAGAAGCCCCGGCUAACUACGUGCCAGCAGCCGCGGUAAUACGGAGGGGGCAAGCGUUAUCCGGAUUUACUGGGUGGAAAGGUGGCGCAGACGGCGAUGCAAGCCAGGAGUGAAAGCCCGGG
Molecule: ribosomal RNA, 257 nt
Filed under: uncultured bacterium
Lineage: Bacteria
Description: partial 16S ribosomal RNA
Rfam family: Bacterial small subunit ribosomal RNA
Source: RNAcentral